GUUCUGUUUUACUUUCCGACACCGCACUAGAUUCAUUUUCGGGCUGCGAUGAAUCACAAACUUCCGCACCACUUUUAGAUGUUUCUGGCAUUGUUACCUGGACCGGUUUUUUAUUAAAGUUUUGAAACUGUGAAACAUAUGGCGCCAAAACAAGGUGCCAUCGAUUUUGCCUAAAUUCGCCUCGAUCUAUUUGGAUCAAAUAAGAUCUCGGUUCAUCCAAUUUUGGUCUAGUCACGACACUAGAUCGACUAUUCCUGAUCUGCCUAAAAUAGGAGUAAGUAAAUUUUUUAAAACAUAUACUUUAAGUUGAGAUUUUUUGUCUCGUUAUGUGAUUUCCAACUUUAAGGUACCGAUUACAUGUAGAGGUCGACCAUCUGGAUCCGAUAUAACAUCAUCAGGAGUUUUUAAUUUUUUUAAAAGAUGUUUUGGAAUAAGAUUUACCGGCAUGCAAGUCACAUCGGCUCCCGAGUCUACCAAAAACUUAAUUUUAUUUGAAAACCCUUCAAUUUGUAGCCUACAAAACCAUUGUGACAUUGAGUCUGAAUUUUGGUUAGAUCUAGAUCCUACCAUUAAUCCUAUAAUCCAUCUUUUUUGUUGUUUUCUUCUUCGGAUUUGAUUCAGUAGAUUCUUUCUCUACUGCCCUCAAGCUUUUGUUUUUGCAAACCUGAUAUGUCGGCGGACUGGGUUUUCGAAAGAAAACAGUAAAGUUAAUUACUUGCAGUUUAAUAUCACAAAAAUAAAGGUUCUUUAUUUUACCACGGUACCGCACGUGAAAAUGUUGUUGCCUCUUGGACACACCGGCUGAGACUAACUUUUUGGUCGGCCCGCGGUGUUGCCAAAUACACCACACUCCUCCCUCCUAGAUUUCCCUCUAGGUUGUGUAAUCCUCCAAAUAUCGUGGAGGGCGCCUUGUUCUGGCCGGCCGGGGAGUAACUGGAGUCCCUGAAACCUGCUCUGGCGUGCUCUCUUCUAAAGAGGGUCCAUCAGCAGACGGUGAAGGGAUAACGACCCUUGGAAGGAUCUCUGAGGAUUCCGCGAAUCGCGAAACGUCGUAGUUCUGACUGCCUGAGACAGGUACGGUCUCUUCGGUGAGUGUACGCGGACGAAUUUGAUCGGUAUGUCUACGUGUGAUUUUACCAUCGGGAGUUUUCACCUUGUAGCUGAGCGAUACCGUUGAUUCUAUUACCGUUGACGGUAACCACCUUUGACCGGGAGCGUAAGACCUUACAAACACAGGAUCAUUCUCUUGGAAAGAUCGAGGGGUUUCAUUAGAAGAGUAUUUGUCUUCUUGCUUGGCUGACAUUUCUUUGGUGAAAUCUGGUUGCAUACAGUCUAAAAGCGUCGCUAACUUUCGUCCCAUCAAGACUUCUGCUGGAGAUCGACCUGUUACGCUGUGGGGUGUAAUGUGCUGAGUUAGUAGGUAUCUUGACAAAGCUAGUUGGACGUUCUCGUUCCUCAUUUUCUUGAGUGCAUUUUUUACAUUUUGCAGCAUACGUUCUGCUUGUCCAUUACUACUUGGAUGGUAGGGAGCAACCAAAGCUUGACGAAUCUGGUUCGUUUUGAGGAAUUGUUGAAAUUCUUCGGAUGUAAAAGCUGUACCAUUGUCGGAGACAAUAACAUCUGCAAUGCCAUGUGUUGCAAAAAGUUCCUUCAUGACUUCGAUAGUCGCUGCACUUGACGUGUUCGGGACCAAACGAACUUCCAGCCAUUUAGAGAAUGAAUCAAUUACAAUUAAAAAUGAUUAACCAUCCAUGGGGCCUGCAAGGUCCACGUGAAGUCGUGUCCAGGGUGCACGAGACCAUUCCCAUGGAUGUACCGGAGCUUUUCUAGGCAUAUUUCGUGCUUCCUGGCACUCGGAGCAAGUUUUGAUCUUAUUUUCAAUGUCACGGUCAAGGUUUGCCCACCAAAUGUAUGAGCGAGCAAGAGCCUUCAUUUUUACCAUGUCUGGGUGUCCAGAAUGAAGAUCUUUUCCUCCCUCCUGGAGGUGUUAUGACCCUGGUUCCCCAAAACAAACAAUUGGUAACAACUGAUUUCGUUCUGUCGUUGAAAGGAAGGCUGAAAUUCGUCAGGGAAUUUAGAUCUUUCCAUCGGCCAACCUUUCCAUACCCAUUGUAAAACUUUGGAUAGAAUUGGAUCCUUGGCUGUUUCACUGGCGAUACGCUUAACAUCUACCACUCUUUCCGGGAUGUUCUCAAACAUCAAAACAUCGGGUGCAUUGGGUGGUUCUGGAGUGUUUAAUUUCUGGGGUAAACGACUAAGCACGUCGGCAUUGCCCAUUCUUGAGCCUGGAACAUGGUGUAGAUCGUAGUCAUACACUGCGAGCAUCAGAAUCCAUCUUAACAAUCUCGGAGAAAGGAUUUCUGGGAUUCCCGUCCUCGGGCUAAAAAUACCUAGGAGAGGUUUAUGGUCCGUCCGGAUGCUGAAUUUUCGUCCAUAUAGGUAAUCGUGGAACUUCUUAACUCCUACAAUGAUAGCGAGAACUUCUUUGUCCAGUUGUGAGAAAUUCCUUUCUGUUGAGGAUAAUGUGCGACUAUGGUACGCCACUGGGACCUCUCUACCGGAGUCGUCAGGUUGACUGAGGACACAUCCAACCCCAUAUGAACUAGCAUCACAACUCCGUUGGCUCCCGUCCCAGACCGCAAAUCAAUUGUUACAUGGGUCACUACAUUCAGACAAACUGCAAGUGCGACAAAACGAAGAACUGGAGUCCCUCGGCCCGUUAGAUCACCUGAGAACAUUGAAGCAGUGAGAGCUUCAAUGUCCUUGGACUAUCCGAUCGUUCUGUGAGAAGAAUUCUUCGUGAUGAUCUUCAUUUUCAUCCCUAUAAGAUGGCGAUAGUGCAGGAACUUACAGAACGUGACUUCAAUUCUCGGAUGAACGCGUGUGAGCUUCUUCUUGAUGUCGUUCCCGAGGGUGCUAUUGUUUUUUUUAGCGAUGAAGCCCAUUUUCAUUUAUGUGGGUCGGUUAACAAACAAAACAUGCGCUACUGGGCUGACACCAACCCUCGACAAUUGCAUCAAAGGCCUUUGCAUUCACCCAAAGUCACAGUGUGGUGUGCAAUUUCCUCAGCUGGAAUUAUUGGUCCCUGGUUUUUUGAGGAAAAUGAGGUUACAGUGACAGUGAAUUCGGACCGGUAUGUAAACAUGCUACAGAAUUUUUUUUCCCACGCCUAGAAGAGUUGGAUUUGGGGGACACUUGGUUCCAACAAGACGGUGCAACAGCACUCACUUCAAGAGCAUCGAUGGCUGUUUUGAGGGAACACUUUCCAGAGCGCCUUGUGAUUUUUUUCUAUGGGGUUUUUUGAAAUCCCUGGUUUAUGUGAACCGUCCAAGAAGCCUACAAGAUUUGAAGACCAACAUCGAAGAAGAAAUUGCCAACAUAACACCAGCUAUGCUAACAAGAGUCAUGACAAACGCCAGAUAUCGGUUUACGCAAUGUAUGGAGAAUGAGGGACGUCACCUAACAGAUUUGAUCUUCAAAACAAUGUAAAUAAAAACUUUAGACAUGUACCUACAUUAUAAAAAAUAAAUUAAGA
Molecule: long non-coding RNA, 3535 nt
Organism: Cylas formicarius (sweet potato weevil)
Lineage: Eukaryota; Metazoa; Arthropoda; Insecta; Coleoptera; Brentidae
Exons: 3
Source: RefSeq, a predicted model, not a curated record